UACGUAGGGGGCAAGCGUUGUCCGGAUUUAUUGGGCGUAAAGAGCGUGUAGGCGGCCAAGCAGGUCCGCUGUGAAAACUCGAGGCUCAACCUCGAGACGUCGGUGGAAACCGUUUGGCUAGAGUCCGGAAGAGGAGAGUGGAAUUCCCGGUGUAGCGGUGAAAUGCGCAGAUAUCGGGAAGAACACCCGUGGCGAAGGCGGCGACCUGGGCCAAUAUUGACGCUGAGGCGCGAAAGCUCGGGGAGCGAACGGG
Molecule: ribosomal RNA, 253 nt
Filed under: uncultured bacterium
Lineage: Bacteria
Description: partial 16S ribosomal RNA
Rfam family: Bacterial small subunit ribosomal RNA
Source: RNAcentral